UACCAAUACAAUUCUUAAAUUAAUUAUUCACUAAUGUUUAAACUUAUACUUAUUUUAAAAUUUUUAACUAAACUUACACGUUACGAAAAAUAAUUAUAGAUUGAAUUUAUUUACCUUUAAAAAUGGAAAGAAUCUAGGAUAAUUGGAUAUUUCCGAAGGCACUUGUAAUUCAUCUAACUGAUUAAGAAAUUUAUCUGUCAUUUGUACUAUACA
This 213-nucleotide long non-coding RNA is filed under the name Carica papaya (papaya). RNAcentral describes it as "long non-coding RNA (CPAP_LNC000345)". Lineage: Eukaryota; Viridiplantae; Streptophyta; Magnoliopsida; Brassicales; Caricaceae. The record is from RNAcentral.